GACCGCUCUGGUAGCUAAGUGGUUAUAGCGUCCGCCUAGGAUGUGGGAGGUCGCGGGUUUGAAUCCCGGCCGAGUCA
Non-coding RNA from Potamilus streckersoni, 77 nucleotides. The record is from the annotation of a GenBank genome assembly. Lineage: Eukaryota; Metazoa; Mollusca; Bivalvia; Unionida; Unionidae.